GCUCAGUAACACGUAGUCAACAUGCCCAAAGGACGUGGAUAACCUCGGGAAACUGAGGAUAAACCGCGAUAGGCCAAGGUUUCUGGAAUGAGCCAUGGCCGAAAUCUAUAUGGCCUUUGGAUUGGACUGCGGCCGAUCAGGCUGUUGGUGAGGUAAUGGCCCACCAAACCUGUAACCGGUACGGGCUUUGAGAGAAGGAGCCCGGAGAUGGGCACUGAGACAAGGGCCCAGGCCCUAUGGGGCGCAGCAGGCGCGAAACCUCUGCAAUAGGCGAAAGCCUGACAGGGUUACUCUGAGUGAUGCCCGCUAAGGGUAUCUUUUGGCACCUCUAAAAAUGGUGCAGAAUAAGGGGUGGGCAAGUCUGGUGUCAGCCGCCGCGGUAAUACCAGCACCCCGAGUUGUCGGGACGAUUAUUGGGCCUAAAGCAUCCGUAGCCUGUUCUGCAAGUCCUCCGUUAAAUCCACCUGCUCAACGGAUGGGCUGCGGAGGAAACCGCAGAGCUAGGAGGCGGGAGAGGCAAACGGUACUCAGUGGGUAGGGGUAAAAUCCAUUGAUCUACUGAAGACCACCAGUGGCGAAGGCGGUUUGCCAGAACGCGCUCGACGGUGAGGGAUGAAAGCUGGGGGAGCAAACCGGAUUAGAUACCCGGGUAGUCCCAGCUGUAAAUGAUGCAGACUCGGUGAUGGGUUGGCUUCGAGCCAACCCGGUGCCGCAGGGAAGCCGUUAAGUCUGCCGCCUGGGGAGUACGGUCGCAAGACUGAAACUUAAAGGAAUUGGCGGGGGAGCAC
Molecule: ribosomal RNA, 788 nt
Filed under: uncultured archaeon
Lineage: Archaea
Description: bacterial SSU rRNA
Rfam family: Archaeal small subunit ribosomal RNA
Source: RNAcentral